AGCGAACGCUGGCGGCAGGCUUAACACAUGCAAGUCGAACGCCAUCUUCGGAUGGAGUGGCAGACGGGUGAGUAACGCGUGGAAACAUACCUUUUGCUUCGGAAUAUUCCCGGGAAACUGGGAGCAAUACCGAAUACGCCCUGAGGGGGAAAGAUUUAUCGGCAAAAGAUUGGUCCGCGUUAGAUUAGGUAGUUGGUAGGGUAAUGGCCUACCAGGCCUACGAUCUAUAGCUGGUCUGAGAGGAUGAUCAGCCACAUUGGGACUGGGACACGGCCCAAACUCCUACGGGAGGCAGCAGUGGGGAAUAUUGGACAAUGGGCGAAAGCCUGAUCCAGCCAUGCCGCGUGAAUGAUGAAGGCCUUAGGGUUGUAAAAUUCUUUCACCGGGGACGAUAAUGACGGUACCCGGAGAAGAAGCCCCGGCUAACUUCGUGCCAGCAGCCGCCGUAA
RNAcentral lists this ribosomal RNA (449 nucleotides) under uncultured bacterium. Its description in RNAcentral is "partial 16S ribosomal RNA". It matches the Rfam family "Bacterial small subunit ribosomal RNA", at positions 29 to 523 of the family's 1533-position model. The record is from RNAcentral.